This is a small nuclear RNA of Alligator mississippiensis (American alligator), 139 nucleotides long. It matches the Rfam family "U4 spliceosomal RNA". Rfam says of the family: U4 small nuclear RNA (U4 snRNA) is a component of the major U2-dependent spliceosome. The structure of U4 snRNA from yeast and human has been reported. NCBI's taxonomy places the organism in Eukaryota, Metazoa, Chordata, Crocodylia, Alligatoridae. The record is from Rfam.
GUAGGAGUAGAGUGGCAGUAUCGUAGCCAAUGAGGUUAAUCCAAGGCACGAUUAUUGGUAAUUGAAAUUUUUUCUGUCAUGGUCAAAAUAACUUGACCAUCAAUAGAGUCAAUUGUUUAAUACAUUAUUUUUUCUUAAU